RNAcentral lists this ribosomal RNA (460 nucleotides) under uncultured bacterium. RNAcentral's name for it is "partial 16S ribosomal RNA". It matches the Rfam family "Bacterial small subunit ribosomal RNA", at positions 338 to 795 of the family's 1533-position model. The record is from RNAcentral.
CCUACGGGAGGCAGCAGUGAGGAAUAUUGGUCAAUGGACGAGAGUCUGAACCAGCCAAGUAGCGUGAAGGAUGACUGCCCUAUGGGUUGUAAACUUCUUUUAUAUGGGAAUAAAAUAUUCCACGUGUGGGAUUUUGUAUGUACCAUAUGAAUAAGGAUCGGCUAACUCCGUGCCAGCAGCCGCGGUAAUACGGAGGAUCCGAGCGUUAUCCGGAUUUAUUGGGUUUAAAGGGAGCGUAGGUGGAUUGUUAAGUCAGUUGUGAAAGUUUGCGGCUCAACCGUAAAAUUGCAGUUGAAACUGGCAGUCUUGAGUACAGUAGAGGUGGGCGGAAUUCGUGGUGUAGCGGUGAAAUGCUUAGAGAUCACGAAGAACUCCGAUUGCGAAGGCAGUUCACUGGACUGCAACUGACACUGAGGCUCGAAAGUGUGGGUAUCAAACAGGAUUAGAUACCCCUGUAGUC